ACAUGUGAACUCCUGGGCCAGCCACCCCACCUGAGUUUUGCUGCGGGGAGGAGGAAGUGCCACAGCGAUGCCACCUUAUUCUCCUUGGGAAGACCAGCUGGCACGACGUAUUAUGGGGCAGAUAUUUAUAACUCAUAACAGGAGGACGCUUGACCGAGGAAGGACAGCCAGAGCCUGCUGAAUCUGGCCAAAGGGGGCCCAUCUAGUCCAGCAUCCUGUUCUCACAGCAGCCCACCAGAUGCCUGUGGGAAACCAGCAAGCAGGAUCCGAGCACAAGAGCCUUGCCCCCUCCUGUGGUUCCGGCAAUCUCAGAAGCAUUGCCGCCUCUUGAUUGUGCAGACAGAGCUGAGACAUCAUGGCUUGCAGCCAUUGACAGCAGGGGGAGGUUGUGUAUUUCGGGAAGGAAACCAGCGGCAAGGCCAGAGACUAUGGGAGUGACGCCAAAUAUCACCAGGGGCAAGAAGGGCUGGAAGUCACCGGCCGUCAGCACCCCUGGGGCCACGAUGCCAC
Zootoca vivipara (common lizard) is the source of this 510-nucleotide long non-coding RNA. RefSeq lists it as uncharacterized. The record is from RefSeq and is a predicted model, not a curated record. NCBI's taxonomy places the organism in Eukaryota, Metazoa, Chordata, Lepidosauria, Squamata, Lacertidae.